AUGGGCUGGGAAACUAGGAGAGCUCGUAUUAUCAAGUGUUCCAGUAAAAAAAGGGAUUGCCUCCCAGAGAAACUGAGCUGUGUGUAUGAGCUGGUUUAUGCAUUGUCUUUACAGGAACAUGGGUGGCCCAGAGCUAUCAAGAGCUGCCCUGAAUGUUGGUCUGAGAGCACCCAGUCUAGACAGUCCCAGUGUGAGAUCCUCUGGAUCCCCUCUGCUCCUCUCUACAACAAAAGGAGAAUAGGAUGGGAAGAUGCAGUGCUGGAAGCAAGGUACCUUAUAGCUAAGACUGCAGAGCUUCAGGUCUUCAGUCAAAUGAGGACAGCCUCAGGAAUGAUGCUGUAUAUCAGUGGGGACAGGCCUGGUGUCCUGCUCUCAGUGGGCAGUGCACAUCUUUUGAAGGCAAAAUCAUCUUGGCAGUGUUAUAAACAUGGUUCUUGCUGGUGCAACACAAGAAAGCAUCCCUUCUUCUGAGCUGUUGCAUCAAGUUGAUGGAUUUUUGCUGUGGUAUGAGUUAACCAUUUUCUUUCUUUUGCAAUUGAAAUUGUUUGUAGCUCAAACUGUUAAACUACACAACAGUGCAGCGUAAAUGAACAGCUAUAUAGUGUGCUGGCAGAACAAAAGGAUCUUUACUCAUGUUGAAAGUAUCAGAAGCAAAAUUAAACUUCCCUACUUUGGGGGGGCUUGGUGGUCCAAGCCUGACUUAGUGUGUGUGUCAAAGCUGAGGGACAUGGAAGAUCUCCUCACCUCUUACUUAUACUGUGCAUCCCGACCAUGUCCUGCCUGAAGAUGUGUGUGUGUCAGCUGGCUGUGCAACAUGAGUUUCGUACGUUCUGGUUUCCUGUGGAGGGGAGCUUUGGUGUGUGGAUGGUCAGAGAGCCGUGAUGCAGAUAUCUCCCCACCAGGAUGCCCAGAGAAGCCAGACUGUCACAGUGCUGCCAAGUUAACUUGCACUGACUGUCAGGAAGAGCCAUGUGUCUUACGUGUGCAGGGGCUGCACUUCCAAAUUUCAGCUCCCAUUCACAGCUUCUCUGCAGGUCUUCCACAGAAAAUGCAUCCACAGGCAUCAAGUGAGAAAUUAACAUUGACAUUUUGACUCAGAAAUGAUACCUCAGUCAGUAUUGUUGGCCAUUGCUCUAGACAUUCAUACGUAAGGAAACCUUUCCCACACAGACUCUGAGUGUGUGGCAGGACUUUUCAUGUGGCACAGGAAAGUAGGUAUCUAGCUAAGGUUUCUGGCUCAAGAGAUUGGACAUCUUUAUAAGCUGUUUCUAGCCUCAGUCAAAAUACAUCCUCAUACAGUUGACAGGUCUCUAGGUGGAUGCCUGAUUGAUUUAGUUGGUGACUCGAAAGCAAAUGGUUUUGAUGACAAUUUCUCUGUUUCCUAGCAGGCUAGAAAAGUUUGUUCAACCUAACCGAAAGGUUAAAAACAGUUUGGGUCAAUGUUAAAUUAUUAGGAACCCAAAUUUCACUGUAAAAUCUCUAGAAGACGAAGAUCUGCUUUCUUUCCUCCUGGUCUUUGCAUUGAUUACAGUGGCUUUCGAUUAAGGUCCCGAACGAAUUUUUUGUUAACACUAAGUGCAUGCUGAGUAAGUACUUCCACAGCAAAAGGUUAAAGAGCUGGUAACUCAAAACAUUGAAGCUCUUCUUUUUCUCUGAAUCAAAAAGGAGCACCAGCUUCUUCAGGCAGCACUGCUGGAUUUGAGCUGUGGUUUUGGGGAGUCUGGGUACAGAAGAUGCAAACCUUCCCAGGCCGAACUGUUACAUCUCCUAUUCAACCACAAUAAGCUGGUGCGUGUGUGUGUGCUUGAGUGUGUGUGUGUGCUUGAGUGUGUGCGUGUGCUUGAGUGUGUGCGUGUGUGCAUGCUGUUUUCCUAAAGCAGGUUAAUGCUAGCUGUGUCUCUGUCUGCCUAAAGGUGCUCACUAUGGCAGCACAUGCCAAGUAACUUUCAACCUGGCUCUUUUUAGUGCCAGUAGCAGUAGUGCUGCUGAUGGACGCAUCAGCUGGUGUGAAUACCCUUAGCAUCCAGCUUGGCUGUUGCAGCCAAACUCAUGGUGCAAAGCCUUCAACAUUUUCAGCCAGCUCAGGUUAAAGCUACACAAAGGUCAAUUAUUACUGCCAGUUGCAGUGUAGGUAUAUCCCAAAUUUUCCAAACAUAUGCCACCCUGUAUUCUUAGUGCUCGUUCCAUAACAGUAGUUCACUGUAAAUGUGUAAUGCUUCCCCUCCUCCCUUUUUAUAUAACCUGUUCUUCAGUUGUGCUAAUCUCCAAAGACUCUGAAUUUAAAGAGCAGCCUCAUUGAUUUACCACCUAGAUCAAGGUAGAGGGAAAAAAAAAAAAAGUCUGGAAGCUAAUGUAGAUUAGAUUGAACAGUUAUGUGAGAAAUGCACAAAUAGUUAACAUUAAAAUGUGAAGAGCAAAUUAAUGGCAUAAUGUCAGAGUCACAGAGUCACUGGUGGUACAGCUAGAAAGGUUGAAAAUAAAUAAAUCCUCACUGAAUGUAGUCUGUUUCA
This is a long non-coding RNA of Anser brachyrhynchus (Pink-footed goose), 2510 nucleotides long. NCBI's taxonomy places the organism in Eukaryota, Metazoa, Chordata, Aves, Anseriformes, Anatidae. The record is from Ensembl.